RNAcentral lists this long non-coding RNA (269 nucleotides) under Homo sapiens (human). Its description in RNAcentral is "non-protein coding LINC02289:43". The record is from RNAcentral. Lineage: Eukaryota; Metazoa; Chordata; Mammalia; Primates; Hominidae.
GCAUUUGAGCUAAAGCAAGGGAAGCAUUUCCCCUUCCCCUGGCUGAAAGCUCAGCUGACCCCGAGGCUCUUCUGGUCAUGCUUAGGAUGUCACUAUCAAUCACGCUUCGACUGAGUACAGCCAAACCAGGAUACUCAGGGACUUGGAAUCUGUUACCAGACUUUUAUUUAGUACAGACACAGCGCCAGGGGGCUGAGCAUUCUUCAGCAACACCCUUUGGACCCCUUUCUACACCAUCAUGCUGUAUGAACAGAAGGGUUGGGGACAUG